RNAcentral lists this ribosomal RNA (329 nucleotides) under uncultured eukaryote. Its description in RNAcentral is "partial 18S ribosomal RNA". It matches the Rfam family "Eukaryotic small subunit ribosomal RNA", at positions 1470 to 1796 of the family's 1831-position model. The record is from RNAcentral.
CCCUUAGAUGUUCUGGGCCGCACGCGCGCUACACUGAUGCAUUCAACGAGUCUAAAACCUGCUCUGAUAGGGGUGGGUAAUCUUUUGAAUGUGCAUCGUGAUUGGGAUAGAUGAUUGCAAUUUUUCAUCUUCAACGAGGAAUGCCUAGUAAACGCAAGCCAUCAGCUUGCAUUGAUUACGUCCCUGCCCUUUGUACACACCGCCCGUCGCUCCUACCGAUUGAAUGAUCCGAUGAAUAUCAUGGAUUGAGGAUGCAAGUAGGUUAGCCUAUCUUCAUCUUCGAGAAGUGAAGUAAAUCUUAUCAUUUAGAGGAAGGAGAAGUCGUAACA